AGUUAGUGGCGGACGGGUGAGUAACGCGUGGAAAACCUGCCGUAUACUGGGGGAUAACACUUAGAAAUAGGUGCUAAUACCGCAUAAGCGCACAGCUUCGCAUGAAGCGGUGUGAAAAACUCCGGUGGUAUACGAUGGUUCCGCGUCUGAUUAGCUAGUUGGUGGGGUAAUGGCCUACCAAGGCAACGAUCAGUAGCCGGCCUGAGAGGGUGAACGGCCACAUUGGGACUGAGACACGGCCCAAACUCCUACGGGAGGCAGCAG
Molecule: ribosomal RNA, 264 nt
Filed under: uncultured bacterium
Lineage: Bacteria
Description: partial 16S ribosomal RNA
Rfam family: Bacterial small subunit ribosomal RNA
Source: RNAcentral